Molecule: regulatory RNA element, 298 nt
Organism: Cavia porcellus (domestic guinea pig)
Lineage: Eukaryota; Metazoa; Chordata; Mammalia; Rodentia; Caviidae
Rfam family: Mason-Pfizer monkey virus packaging signal
About the family: The packaging signal is located in the 5' UTR and is required for specific RNA encapsidation.
Source: Rfam
UGGUGCCGCAACGUGAGACUCGAGAAUGGGGGACUUUGUGAGGGAUGCUGUUUGUGGGUCCAAAGUAGAAAAAGAAAAAGAAAAUAGAGGACCUGAUGAUGUGGGAGCCUGCUGCACCGCUGAACCUCGGUAAGUGAACAGCGAUUAUGGCACAAGAAAUUAGCCAGCAUGAGGUUUUUGUUGAAAGUUUAGAAAAGCUUUAAGGACACGAGGGGUAAAGGAAAAAAUUAAGCAGUUGUGUCCAUUAGGGCAAGAAAUGAGCCAGCAUGAGAUUUUUGUUGAAAGUUUAUAAAAGCUU